Molecule: unclassified non-coding RNA, 2528 nt
Filed under: uncultured fungus
Lineage: Eukaryota; Fungi
Description: sequence contains 18S rRNA gene, ITS1, 5.8S rRNA gene, ITS2, 28S rRNA gene
Rfam family: Eukaryotic large subunit ribosomal RNA (bases 1397-2528)
Source: RNAcentral
GGAGGGAUCAUUCCAACGUUUCCGAACGUAUCAACCCACCGUGAACCUCUUGUGACAUGAUUGAUUGUUUGGGGUCGGAAUCGAGUCCAUUCCUAUUUCCAGUGAUGUGACCUGGAUCACAUGUGUGGAGACGGGAGAGGAUGUCGACAACGCCUUCAAGUGACUUUCGAGUUACAGGAACCCUUAUUUGAACCUGUAUGGAAUGUGGCUGCUGAAGAGAUUGUAGUGGAUGGUCUAGAUGUUUUUCUCAUUCUGGGAAGCUUGUCAAUGGCAACAUUGGGAGGUGGUACUGGAUGGAGAGAUCUUCUAGAUUCAUGAUCUCUUUCAGCUAGAGGAUGAUGUUGAGAGGGUCGCUGGCGCUCUUGACCUCCCAUACCUCAAGGCUCUUUUGUACAGGCCAAUUUACUUUCCUUCACUAGAAGGGGGGUCAAUCGAUAAGAUUUAAUUUAUAAUUAAUUUCUUUCGACUUGCCCCUCUCUUAGUGGAGGAAGGCAGAUAAAUUGGCUCCACUACGCGGUUACCCAACCAAACCAGUUUCACCCUUUUUUACCCCAUUUGACAGAAUUCGAGAGAGAGUGUAACAGUUGUUUGGUAUGGAGGAUCCGUCUGACUCUUUUCGUUCUUCGGACGGUGUUAGAUAGUUCUUCUGUGCUGCCCAAUUGCAAUGUUCUCCCUCACUCAGUGUUGACACUGAAUCAUCAGUACAACUCUUAGCAAUGGAUAUCUAGGUUCUCGCAACGAUGAAGAACGCAGCGAAAUGCGAUAUGUAAUGCGAAUUGCAGAAUUCAGUGAAUCAUCGAAUCUUUGAACGCAAAUGGCGCUUUCGGGAUAGACCUGAAAGCACGCUUCUCUCAGUAUCAGUUUCAACCCCAUAUCGAUUCGUGUUGUUUUUAGAUCUGCUUCGUCUAUGGUUCAUUUAGAUGGAUCGGAAGGGGGAAAUUGAAUUGAAUUUUUAAUUGAAUUGAACUCUUCCUAUUCCUUCUACACCCGCCAAACGACCUGGUAGAUCAGGAACAGGACCUAUCGGAAAAUGAGAGUCUUAUUGUGCAUACGAUGAGUCUCUUGAAAUUCUUAAGUCUAUGCCUGAAUCUUCUAGUCACUGUUUCUUCUUUUUCGCAAGAAAGAGAAGAGACUUAGCUUGACAAAUAGUGAAGCGAGGCUGGUCGACGUGGAUAACUAUAUCCUGGGUCAAACUAGGAUUGGCGAAAACGUCAUAGGACUGUUCUCGAUUCACAUCAUGUUUGUCAAGUGAACGGCUACUGGAAUGCAGGAAAGACGACUUAUGAGAAUCAAACAUUUCAAGGUCUUGAGUAGUGGAUGGGGGUGCCUGUAUGUAUAUGUAUGUAUAUGUAUGGUGUGUCCCCUUCUGUUCCAAACCGUUUGAAUCUCUCGAAUUCGAUCUGAGAUGAAGCGAGACUACCCCCUGAAUUUAAGCAUAUUAAUAAGGGGAGGAAAAGAAACUAACUAGGAUUCCCCCAGUAACGGCGAGUGAAGCGGGAAAAGCUCAAGCUGAAAAUCGGUGAUUCAAGCGAGUCAUCCGAAUUGUAGCCUAGAGACAUGUUCUCAGCGUGCAACCCAGGUCCAAGUCCUUUGGAAUUGGGCAUCAUUGAGGGUGAGAAUCCCGUUCAUGAUCUGGAGAUUGCCGCGUACGAGUCAUGUUCACAGAGUCGAGUUGUUUGGGAUUGCAGCUCGAAAUGGGUGGUAAGUUUCAUCCAAAGCUAAAUAUAGGCGAGAGACCGAUAGCGAACAAGUACCGUGAGGGAAAGAUGAAAAGAACUUUGAAAAGAGAGUGAAAAAGUACUUGAAAUUGCUAAGAGGGAAGCGCUGGGAAGCAGUGUUGUGCUUGCAGCAUUUUGCCCGUCUAGAGGUGUUAUCUCUGUAUGCUGAUGUGGGUAACCCAUCAGUAUUCAGGGAGAGUAUCGAUAGGCGGGUCCUGUGUUGUGAGCCGGUCAGAAUCAGUUCGAGUGGUGGGAGAAAAUCAGGAGAAAGGUAGGAUGGGGGCAACUUCAUCUGUUAUAGACUCUUGACGUUCACCAUGAUUUGGACUGAGGAAGUAGUGAUGCGCCACCUGGCGUAUCUUCCUGCUCCUCUCUUUUUCCGCGGAUUGGAGGUCAAUGACCUGCUGUCUGUAUAAAGGGAGAUUGAGUAGAGAGGAUUUCUGCAUCACCACGAUUCUGACAAAAUGCUUCUCAUCGACCCGUCUUGAAACACGGACCAAGGAGUCUAACAUCUAUGCGAGUAUUUGGGUGUUCAAACCCGCGUGCGUAAUGAAAGUAAAGGUAACCUUGUGUUACUGAGGUAGGAAUUCCUGCUUUGGUUGGAAGGCACUAUCGACCGAUCCGAACUUGUUCGAGAUUUGAGUGCGAGCAUAUCUGUUGGGACCCGAAAGAUGGUGAUCUAUGCCUGAACAGGGUGAAGCCAGGGGAAACUCUGGUGGAGGCUCGUAGCGAUACUGACGUGCAAAUCGUUCGUCUGAUUUGGGUAUAGGGGCGAAAGACUAAUCGAACUAUCUAGUAGCUGGUUCCCUC